This 520-nucleotide RNase P RNA is filed under the name Treponema sp. RNAcentral's name for it is "RNase P RNA component class A". It matches the Rfam family "Bacterial RNase P class A". From Rfam's summary of the family: Ribonuclease P (RNase P) is a ubiquitous endoribonuclease, found in archaea, bacteria and eukarya as well as chloroplasts and mitochondria. Lineage: Bacteria; Pseudomonadati; Spirochaetota; Spirochaetia; Treponematales; Treponemataceae. The record is from RNAcentral.
GCGAUGAACCAGGCUGCCGCAGGACGGGAGUUCGUGAGAAUUUACCGGCCUGAGGAAAGUCCGGGCUCCGUAGGGUAUGAUGCCGGGUAACACCCGGGCAGGGCGGGUGAAAACCCGCUUUGACAGAAAGCGCAACAGAAAAGAUACCGCCCCGGUAUGGUGUUUCGCCGGACUGGGGUAAGGGUGAAAUGGUGGGGUAAGAGCCCACCUCGGCGGCGGUAACGGCGCCGGAAAGAUUUCGGUCUGGCAAGAGAAGGCUUGGCCGAAAAACGGCAAACCUCAUCAGGAGCAAAGUCAAGCAGGGGUCGGGUGUAUACCCAAGGGCGGCCCGCCCUGACCCCGGGUAGGCUGCGCGGGGAAUAUCUCCGGAACGUUGCCGGUAACGGUCGCGCAAGAUAGAUGGUUGCCAGUUGUAGCCUUCGGUCGCGACUUAGCUUGGGAAGUUUUCUUCGGAAAACUCCAUGCCAAUUGUGAUCAGGGACGCAAUGACACAGAACCCGGCUUACGGUUCAUCGCUUUU